GGGCUCCGUUUCUCCCGCCGCCGGAGGUUUAAAGCUUUGGUCGGGGUGGGGACGCUUCCUGCCCGGGUUCCGGGGCGGCGGGGCCUGCGCGCAGCGGCCUGCGGUCCGGGAGAGGUCGCGGCGGCCACGGAACCGACCCCACACCCCUCCCCCAUCGCCCACCCCCGGGCGGCGACCUCGGGCUGCCCCCUCGCCCCCUUCCGGCCUCCCCCAGCCCGCGUCUGCGCCGGUGCCUCUAACUUCGCCCUCUUUCAGGUCCGGGCGCUCUCGCUCUCUGCUCCCAGCCCCGUUACUGGCUUCGCAGUGCCGGGAGCCCGCAAGGGGCUAAGAAAGAAGCGCGGGCGGGCGUGUGGGGUUGGGGGCGGGGGAGCGGGAGCAUCUGCCGGUCGCUGGGCUGGCGGAGCAGCGGCCUCGGCUCUCCUGUUGCUCAGGCCGCGGCGCGGCAGCGGCUGGACUCUGAUCCCGGGUCGGGGAGGAGUUGGAGAGGGUGUUCAUCCCCUUCUCCCGGGAUUCACAUACGUGGGAAAUGGGGUUCCCAAAUGAAGAGGGGUGGCUCCUUAUCAUUUCCAGUCAUGCACACAAUCCUCUUAAUGGGCUCGGUGGCCCCAACGUGACACCUAAAAAGUUGAAUGGGAGAGGAGUACUUGCUCCGCCUCAGUCCGGUAGAAAGCCGGCUUUGGCCUCCAGUCCCCCACCCUCGCACUCCUCCCGCGGUAGUUAAUCCGCGGCUCCCUUCUAGGGGAACAUUUACAUGUGAAAACCUCCCCAAACCGGGAACAAAGCUGCCUGCCGCCUUAAAGCUCUAUAGUUUUAUCUCAAGUCUGAUUCCAGGUGCUGUUUUUGGAGCGUAGAGUCCACACGUCCUCUUCAUCAGAAUCGAUUUGGGGAGAGGGGACUUGACCAUUGGUGAUUUGAAAUACAGUUACAGAAUGGAAACUUGUCAUAGGUUGAGUUGGAUUAUUUUCCUUUUCCAAACACUGAAGAUAAACCCAACAUUGAAAAAGUGAGAUGUAGUGCUGUAGCUCUAGAUGUCUUGAUACGGCGUUAAAAACUUGCAUCUCACAGUAAGGUUUUGUAAUUUCACUUGUAACAGAAUUAACGUGCGGUAACUUUCCUUUAGAUUUGCAGUCCCGUAAUGUGGGAUCUUCCAGCAACACGGCAGUUAGGAUCUUUUAUUGCCUUACAGAUUAUCCUAGAAAUGAUUUGUCUUUAACCGAUGGGUGCAUAAAAUGUCUUAACUGGAGUAGCAACUGGUGUUGGACAGUGUGAUGAUUUUCAAAAUAACGAAAUAACAUUUCCUAAUAUUUGAUGGCUAGAGAAUUUCUGAUAUUGCUCCAAAGAUUUCAGGUCUGGAAGUUGACUUGGUUUCUUGAAGGCGAAGUUUACUUGGAGUGUUGGCUCCAUGAGGGCAGGGAGUUUCUGUUCUUUCCUCCUCCUCUCACCAUAGGAGGCCAAUAUGCGUUGAAUGCAUGAGAAUUUUACAAAUGGUACAACAGUUUUUAAAAAUUAUAAGUACAUUUCUUUCCCAAGAUAAAACCUUAUUGACUCUUUUUAAUGUCAACUUAUAAUGAAGAAGGGGAUUUUUAGAGUAUUCUCAAGAUCAGAAGUAUUUAAUUCUGAGUUAAGCAGUGUGGAAGUUGACAGUAAGCACAUUAAGCAAAAUAUCUUACGUUCUGGAAAAGUGUGAUCAGGAGUUUUUACUUUGAAAAACAAAAAUAAGGUAGGAUACUGAUUUCUCAAAAAAGGGAAAUGGUAUUUUAACCUUUUUAAAAUGUACAAAAUGAGAGUUUUCCUGUCAUUAUUCACCUUUCUGCUCAAAUUUUUAUUUCCAUUCCUACUCUUUAUGAACUGCAAAUUACAUUAUGUUAGGUGUGUGUUGCCAGUUCUGAUUUCUGAAGAAACUUUCUUCUGGAGAAAUUAGUCUGACUUUAAAAUUCAUCUUCUUGUGUUGUUUGAUUUGUAGUCCUUCUCGGUUAUAACUCCCCAUUCAUGAAAUGUUAUUGGUUAGUUUCUUGUAACCUCAAAUCUCCCAAGUCUUACUUUAAUUCUAUAAACUUUUAAAUGCGUGCUCAGCUACAAAGCUUUGUCCUGAAUACUGUGGUACUACCAAGGAUCUCUGUCCCCUAGGAGCCUGAUCUAAUAGAGGACACAAGACUUAGGCAAAUAACUUUAACAUGUGAUAGAACAACUUCCUUUGGGGCUCUUAAAAAAUACCCUGGGAUGGCUAUGGGGGAUCAGUGAAGACUUGGGAAGAGAAGGUGGAGUAAGUUUUAGGAUUUCAGAAGGUGUAGAAAGUAGUGAUUGAAGGGCAACAGUGCUGAGGAGUGAACAGUAGUUUGAUUCCAAAGGCUACUGGAAAGUAAAGAUGGUUAAGUAAUUCGGGGCCUGACAAGUUUCAUGUCUGUCUAAUGUGUUUAAAUUUCACUUUUAGGCUCUGGAUAAACUGAAGGCUUUAAGUAGUGGGGUGAUAUAAUCAAGAAAACUGCUUGAUUUGUAUAUAUUGUAGAAGGCAGAGAUUUGAGGAAGAUUGGCAUUUUGAGGACUGAGGUAGAAUUGAGUAAAAUCUGAACUUGGCCUGUCUAUAGUGGUAGGGAGAGGAGGGAUCCGUGGACCUGCCAUCUGAAAGGCUAAUAAGCUCCUUUUGCCCCCACAUUCUAGGUGCUGGGAAAGUGGUGAUGCUGCUCUCACAAGUCAGGCAGUUAGCAUAAGCAUAUUUAGUGGAAGAGGAAAUAUGUUUGGUUUUUUAACAGGUUGAGAUUGAGUGGAAAAGUCAACGUGGAAAUUUUUGGCAAGCAGUUGGGCAUGUAGGACUCAAACUUGGAAGCAACCAAGAAAUAGAGGAAGACAUAUGGGAGUCACUCUCAGAUGUGCCCUGGAGAAAAUUGAGGGGGGGAGAAAAGGAAUUAAUAUUUAAUAAGCAUCUAUGGCGUAUCAGGCAUUUUAUAAAUACGUGUCUGAUAUUCCCACAACCUUGCACAGACAUCCAUUUAUAGAUGAGGAAACUGAUUUUCAAAGAAGUUAAAUAACUGGCCCAGGGGCAUACUGUCAGCUAAUGGUAGCGCUGGGAUUUGAAUGCACAUCUCCCCAUCUUAAUUGCUGCCUAAAGAUAAUAUUUUGUAUAAUACAGUUACAGGUUACAGGUUAAGACUUAAGAAAACUACUAAAAUUUGAGAGUAAUGGAAUCUGAAGUUUAAGGUUGAGUGGUGAUGAAGGAGAUAAGGAAAUAAAGGUCACAAAUGUAGUCUUUUUUAGAAGUUUGGUUGUGAGGGAUUUAAGGACAAAGUUGCCUCAAGAAUGAAGGGAAAGAAGAGCAGUUAACAGGGUAGGAGGCACUAGUGGUAGGCCAUUUGUAUGUUUGUAUAGCAUAUAUGUGAUCUUAGCCUUAAUAAGUGAUGUUGAAGCCCUGGUCUCAGGAGUAGAAGUUUGAGCAUGUUGGGGGAGGGUAAGUGUAGAGAAGCACAGUUUAAAAAUAAAAGGGCUUGCUUGGAACACAAUUGUGGCUAAAAGGAAGGGUACAGAUCAGCACGGGUAAAAGAGGUCAGUAUCUCUGAUACAGGAAGGAAGAUAAAAAGAAUGAAGUUAUUAAAGACACCCUUUAAACAGGAGUUUUAUGGUGAGACGCUUUGUUAAGUGUUGUAAAAAGAUGAGUGAAAAAAAUGAGUGACUAAUUAUAGCCAAUACUUGUUUUCUGCUAUGUUUAUGUAUUCCUUAAUGUGAAGAGUUUGGUAUUUUGUAAGUUUGUUGAAUGAAUGAAAGUUACAGAUUGGUUAAUCCAUUGAUUUCAUUUUUAGCCUUUAACCAAUCUUUUCUAAUCCCAACAGAUUGUAUCUUCCCACACUUUUGGGAGGGGAGCAGCAUUUAUGAUUUUAAGACUUUUAAUUAGGGGCAGCUGGGUGGCUCAGUCGGUUAAGCAUCAGACUCGAUUUUGGCUCAGUCCUGAGAUCAAGCAGGUUGGGCUCAGAGCUCAACAUGGAGUCUGCUUGAAAUUCUCCCUUUCCCUCUGCCCCUCCCUGCAUGAGCGCAGGACACCUGUACUUACUUGCUCUCUCUAAAAUAAAAUCUUUUCUUAAAAAAAGACUUAAAGUAUAAGAAAGUGCAGAGAAGAUAUAACAAGAAUGGACAGUUGUUACUAUUAUAAGUGUUUUUAAUUUAAGCUUAAAGUAUUACAAGUUAAAGUCCUUUCCUCCCACAGAGGCAAUCAAAAUGCAUUUAGUAUCAAUCACUGUGGUACAUAAGCAGUAUAUAAUCUGUAUUUUGAUAUGCAUAAGUGGUAUAUAUACUCGUGGGGUUUUUUUUCUCAAACGUUGUUAAUAUUAAGAUUUCAUUCUAAUGCUGGGUAGUAUGCCAUCAUUUGAAUAAACCAUAUUUUACUUAUCUGGUUCCCCAGUUGAUGAACAUUUAAGUUGCUUCUCAGUUAUUGCUGACAAACACUGCAUGAACUUUCUCAAACAUACCUCCAUUGUAUAAGAGUCUCUCUGGGGCAGCUGUUCUCAAACUUUGGAUUUUGACUCCUUUAACUCUUUUUUUUUUUUUUUUAAAGAUUUUAUUUAUUUAUUUGACAGAGACACAGCGAGAGAGGGAACACAAGCAGGGGGAGUGGGAGAGGGAGAAGCAGCCUUCCCGCCGAGCAGGGAGCCCGACACGGGGCUUGACCCGAGGACCCUGGGAUCAUGACCUGAGCCGAAGGCAGACGCUUAACGACUGAGCCACCCAGGCGCCCCUUGACUCCUUUAACUCUUAAAGGUUAAGGACUACAGAGAGCUUUUGUAUCUGUGGAUGAUACCAUAUAUAUAUAAUAUGUCUUUGGGAUAUUUAUCAUCUUAGAAAUUUAAUCUGAGAAAUACAUUUAUUGAAAAUCACAAAUCCAUUAUAUUUUAACAUAAAUAACAUUUUAAAUGAAAAAUAAUGUUUCCCCCCCCAAAAGUGAGAAGAGUGACAUUGUUUUAUAUUUUUGCAAAUCUCAUUUAAACUUUGGUUUGUAAACCUGGAUUCUCAUAUCUACUUCUUUAUUCAGUCUCUUGUAAUUAGACACAUCAGGUAGCCUCUGGAAAACUUUGCUGUACACUUGUGAGAAAAUGAAUGAAAGGGGCAAGAAAUGUUUUAGUAUUAAAAUGAAAACAAUUUUUACCUCACAGACCACUGAAAGGAACUCAGACUCCCAGGGAUCCUCAGAUUAUUUUUAGAGAACUACAGCGCUGAGAUACUGAGGUGGUGUACAUACAAUGUUAUGUUGAAGUGCAGGAAGAAAAUACAAGAACUUUAACAUUCAUUUUUAUUUUUAAACUCAGAUUAAGCUUUAUGAAUAUUUUAUGUAUGAAUUUAUGUUGGUACACUUACCACUGGGCUGUCAGUCUUGAACCACCAUAUUAUCCUGAAGGAAGAGUUGUGUUCCACAUAUCAGCGGGGAACUUGCCACCCCUUUCUUUUCCCACUGGAAAUUUUUGUGUAUGGACUAUCGUAUGUUUUACCUCUUGAUUACUAGGUAUGGUUAUCUUCCAGAAUUUAAAUCAGAUGAUGAAGAUACUUUAAGUAUUUUUUUCUAAACCUGUUAAUGUUCGUCUUUAGUUGUUCUUGAUCAUUUCCUUCCAAGUCUAUCUAAAGCAGUGGACAAAGAGUUGACACAAGAUUCUUAACUGUGUGAAAGAGAUGUAGAGGACCAGGCCACAGUUGAAGUAAAAUUGAAGGUUUUUUUCUUGCCUCAUUUGACCAUGUUAUGCUGUUACCACAGGAGUUUUAGAUACUAAAAGUUAUCAUGGUAUUCCUCUGCUCUUUCUCGACUCUCAGAGAAUUGCUUAUCUCCAACAACAGUAGAGGUCUGGCCUUACGGUGAAUGUAAUAAUGCUGGCUCUUCAGAGCUUUCUGUUGCAGCAUUUAUCACUGAUGUUCUUGUUGAAAAUAACCUCUACCCUAGAAUUCUCACAUUUCAUUUAGUAUUUUGUUUCAGAAAAAAUUACAUGGACACAUGGUAAGGAGCUAAUUCAGAGAAAAAUUGGAGUAAUGGAAAAGUUGGCUUAUAAAUCUUGUGAAACAGGGUUCAGGACAUAAAACUACCUGGCAGAAAGUUGACAAAUGGUAGUUGGUAUUGGGGCAGGGUGUUUUUUUUGCCAGAUAUAAAUUGUAGGUUCUCUGCCAUGGAACCCAAGUGAAUAUAAUUACUUCAGCAUUCCAGGUAACUUGUGUAGAUAUCUGCACACCUUGAAGUCUUGUUUUAAAAUAUGUUUUGGUAACAUGGUAGGAAAAAAGUUCUUACAUAAAUGAUGGACCCUUAGUAUUGUUCAUAACAUUUGUUGAGAUAAUAUGCCAGAUUUUUUUUUUAAGCAUACUUCAGAGCAACGGCAUACAUCUUUAAUGAUGAGCUAAAAACAAGCUACACGACGUUAUCAGCUAUGUAGAAUAAGCAGUUUGCCCAUUAUUCAAAUUUUUGGUAACAUUAGUUGAUUAAUACUCUUUCUAUGGAACAGGAAAAAGUAGAGUUUGGUAGUAGUUCAGCUUGCCUUAGGACUAGGCCUUGAAAAGAUCUGUUGAAAGCUUAGACUUCAAGAGACGUGUCUGCAUUUCUCUGUUAAUAUUAUGUGUGAUUAGCAGUGUACUAUCACGAUUUUUUGUUUCUUGUUUUUUUUGAGAACUAUUAAGAUUUCACAAACAGUAUUAUAAUUUAUUAUACCCUGGUCACCUUCGUCCUAUUAAGUAUUUGCAUGGUUUAUUGAUUACAUUUCAUUGCUUUAUAGCUAGAGCUCUUUAUUGGUCCUUGUGAAGGCAUAAAUAUAGAAACUUUGAUAUUCCAGUGAAGCACAUUGUACUGAUUAGUAGUGAAUUUGCAAGAAAUCCAAUGUAACUCUGGAGUGAAGUUAAGAAUUAGAAGCUAAAGUUUUGAUGGAGUCACGGGGUGGGUAGUGGGGGAGACGGCAGGGCUCAGUGAAAAGUAGAGGGCCAUCCAAGUUCUUCUGAAAGUUAUAAUUUGUGUUUGGAUAAUUGGUGAUUUUGGUAUAAACCUAUGUGGGUCAGUAAUCCUAGUUGGAAGAGACUGUAGAGCAGUGGCACACCUUGCAUAUUUGACAUCCAGAGCACAAUUUUUCUUUUUAAUACAUCCCUCUGCUACAACAAAAUUAAUUCCAGAAAUAAUCAUGAGAAUGGCCAAGAAAGAAACCUGAACUUUAUGCCGGUUGCAAAUAUAUAUAUACAACAGUGGAAAAAAGUUAAUAUUUUUAAAUUGCAUUGAUACUUUUUUUGAAAAGCUUACCUACAUACUGGUCUGUCAUAUUGACUUACUAUGAUAUUCCAGUUUCUUUUCAAGCCUUACCUUCUGCAUAUUUGUUAGUGAUUGUCAAGAUGAUCUUCACACAUUUGUGUUCCGUAGACAGUUAUAGCCCGCUUGAUCAGUCUUCACCCAUAAUUGAUUAAAGAAUACUUUUUAUUAGUUUUAAUUAUGAAAAGCUGUAUAUAAAGCAACAGACAUACACUAGUUAGGGAGCCUUAAAUAUAAGUUAACCUUUGGUUAGAAAUUUAGGAAAAAACCACUUCACAAUAAAUCUAAAAAUCUAGAAUGUCUUUCCACAUUGAUUGUAGUGACUUUCAAAUGUCUCCUCACUAAAAAAAAAAAAUUCACUGAAAUGUUUCCACCGAAAAAUUCAGUAUAGAUUUCUAUUAGUUAAACAUUCUUUAAAUUAUGUGUAAAUGUCUACUUCCUUACAUUUUGUAGAGUAGUAAUGGCAUUCUCCAUGAUUUUUAUUCAUGGAUCUUCAAGCUCUGUGUUCCACUAUACUGUUGCUCAGGGCUGAUUCUGGCUGUUUGUAAAUAUUUAUACCAGAAAAAUAGAUUUCAGAAAGAAGAAUUGCACUCAGCUAUCGUAUUUUGAAUGUACUCUUUAAACACAUACACACACGUAUAUUGGAACCACAGGAUUGGAGAAAGAAACAGCCUAAGUGCAGGCUAUCCUAAAUCUCUUUGUAGUGACUCUCCAGAUGAACAGGUAUGGUGAAUCUGCAUAUUUUGGGCACUCACCACAUAACUGGAGGAUUUCCUAAUGAAUUUCCACUUAGAAUAGAUGGCUUAAUAGAGGAUAUGUAGUAAAAGUGUAUAGAUUUGAUGCUUAUAUAUUGUUAAAACUUAAGUCACCACAGCAAUAGAUUAAAACUUAAGCAUCUCAGUCAACAACAUAUUUUAGGGGAAGGAAUAUUUUAUACGUGAUAUUAUUUAGAAUUGCCAGUGCUUAGUGAUGCUAAAAGGAUGUCAAUUUUAUUAAUUGUAUUUAGAGUCUUUAGAGACAAUUUACCCACUGAUUGCCUGACCUGUAUUUGCUUCUCCCAUUGUCCCACUGUUACCUUAGAGAGCAGUAGUUGACCAACUCUGUAGUCUGUAAAUCUCCUUCUGCAAUAUUUAUUAUAUAUCUUUAUGCAUUUUAUCAUGAUUAUUCUACUUUUUUCCCCCUUUUGACUUUGUCAGAGCUGAGUUUUAGCUGAAGUAGAAUUAUACCCUGCUGAAAAGAAGCCUAUAAUAUGGAAAUUUACAGUAAUACGCCUUUUAAGCCUUUAGGAAACAAAAUAUUCUUUAGACUUUAAUGGCCAUAUAUCACCUCGUUCACCUUAAUUAAGAGAUGCUGAAUAAUAAAUCCCUUUGGAAAGGACAGCCAGGUUUGGGGUUCAUUGGAGAUAUGUUCAAAUCUUUAUAAAGGCUUUAAUUAUUGUUUAAUGUCAAAAAUAGGCAAAUCCAUAGAGACAGAUUAUUGGUUGGUGGCAGGGAGGAAUGGGCAUGGAAUUUUUUGGAGGGGAUUAAAGUAUUCUAAAACAAAAUAGUGCUGAUGGCUGCCCAACUCUAAAUAUAAUAAAAACAAAAACAAAAAAACACUGAAUUGUAUACUUUAAAGGGGUGAGCUUUAUGGUAUAUGAAUUAUAUCUCAAACCUGUUUAAAAAAUAGGAAAACGUUAGUUUUUAGCACAUCAUUUCCAUUGUUUUGUUGCUUAAUCUGAUUUUCUUUCCAUUGAAAACAGUAUCUAGUAGCUACCAAGAGGCACUGUAAAUUAUUUUGUUGAUCCUGAAUCGUAAGUUUGUUUUAUAGGGUAUCUUUAGUUUUUACAUGCUAUUUUAAGUAAUCCAAUGGGGACAGUUCAGGGGAAGGACAGGAAAGGAAUCCUGCAUUUGCUCCUUAACCCACCAGCCAGAUGCAGCUAAUGGGCUAAGAGUUUUAUAUAGGUGUGUCUUUCCAUUCUUUUCAUUUUAAAGGUAAGGAAACCGAAGAGGUGGUGUGAAUUGACCAAGGUCACACCGUGUAGAAAUGGCAGUUCGGAGAUUUGACUGAGUACUCUGAGUACCCAUCUGAGCCCAGUCCAUAGCCCCACACAGUUGUGCUGAAGGUUUUUGAGCAGUGGAUCUUUGUCUGCUGGAGUGUUUAUGAGAGGAGAGGGAUCACUAACAACUUUUGUACAUCUGAAGCAUGGUUGCAAGUGCACCAAAAUGUAUACUUUUGGAAGGAUUUGUAGAAGUUUAAGAAUAAUGAAGUUUGGUAAGUUUUUAAGUCAUGCAUAGAUAAUCCAUAUUUAAAACUUAAAUGCACUUUUAGGCCUUUAUAUUUCUUUCACUAAUUUAUAUUCACAAUUAAAAUUUUAAAUUGAUUGAGGAUUUAAUAAAUGCUAACAUUUUCAAUUUUAGUCCCAUACUUGCGCAUAAAUCCAUUCAUGACAACUUUGUGGAAAUAACUGGUUAUAAAUGAGAUACAUUAAGUAUGGGAUAAUUUUUCUUUUUUCUUCUAAUCAAACAAUUUUAUAUCCAGAACUGAUUUUUCUUUUUUCUUUUUUUUUUUAAAGAUUUUAUUUAUUUAUUUGACAGAGACAUAGCGAGAGGGAACACAAGCAGGGGGAGUGGGAGAGGGAGAAGCAUGCUUCCCACUGAGCAGAGAGCCUGAUGCGGAGCUCGAUCCCAGGAUCCUGGGAUCAUGACCUGAGCCGAAGGCAGACACUUAAUGACUGAGCCACCCAGGCGCCCCUAAUUUUUAUUUCUUCUGUUGAAGUCUAGGAGGAAAUAUUUAAUUCACAAUUUUUUUUUUUUUUUUUUUAAAGAUUUUAUGUAUUAGAGAGAGAGCACAGGCAGGGGCAGAGGGAGAAGGAGAAGCAGGCUCCCUACUGAGCAAGGAGCCCAAUGCAGGGCUCCAUCCUAGGAUCCCGGAUCAUGACCCAAGCUGAAGGCAGACGCCCUUCACAAAAAUGUUCUGUAGCCAAUUUGGGGGGAUGUAAAGUUCACUAGUGAGGCACAGUAAAAGUAAUUUUGCAAUCUGGAAUCUGCUGGUAGAGCAAUGGCACAGAUAAAAUAUUUGCCAUUUCUUAAAAUCACCUGCCUAUUUCUUGAUCAAGUGAAAAGAAAGAAGUGGAGGAUUGAUUGCAAUUCGGUGAACCAAAAUGUAGCUAAGGAAUAGAAAAAUCGUUGUCCUAAGCUGGAACUGAAUGGGUUAAAAGCCCUGCUAAAGAGAGGCAGCCUUGGUUCUUUUUUUUUUUAAAGAUUUUGUUUAUUUUUAUUUAUUUGACAGAAAGAGAGAAACAGCAUGAGAGGGGAUAGGGUCAGAGGGAGAAGCAGGCUCCCCGCCGAGCCGGGAGCCCGAUGCGGGACUCGAUCCCAGGACUCCGGGAUCAUGACCUGAGCCGAAGGCAGUCGCUUAACCAACUGAGCCACCCAGGCUCCCGAGGCAGCCUUGGUUCUAAAGUGAAAAGUUUUGAGUGAGGGGCGCCUGGUUGGCUGGAUCUGAUUGGGUUAAAGAUCUUGGAAGGGGUUAAUUAUCCUGAAUUAUCUAGAUGAGCACAGUGUAAUCCCAAGGGUCCUUAAACGAAAGAGGGAGGAGAGUCAGAAAGUGAUGUGACAGCAGAAGCACAAAGGUAAGGGAGAAGAUGCUACCCUGUUGGCUUUGAAGAUGGAGGAAGAGAAAGACCAAGAGCCAAAGGAAUGUAGGCACCCUGUAGAAGCUGGAAAAGCCAAGGAAUGUAUUCUGCCCUAGAGCCUCCAGCACCUGCCGGCACUUGAAUUCAGACUAGCGAGAUUCUGACCUCCAAAACUGUAAGAUAAGUUUGUGUUGUUUUUAAGCUAAGUUUGUGGUAAUGUGUUAUUGCAGAAAUAGGAAACAUUAAAAAAAAAAAAACCAAUUCACUAGAUUCCAUUAACACAGUAAUACAUCUGGACGAUGUCCAUUUGGGGAUA
Long non-coding RNA from Mirounga angustirostris (Northern elephant seal), 11178 nucleotides. RefSeq lists it as uncharacterized. The record is from RefSeq and is a predicted model, not a curated record. The transcript has 2 exons. NCBI's taxonomy places the organism in Eukaryota, Metazoa, Chordata, Mammalia, Carnivora, Phocidae.